Molecule: ribosomal RNA, 253 nt
Filed under: uncultured bacterium
Lineage: Bacteria
Description: partial 16S ribosomal RNA
Rfam family: Bacterial small subunit ribosomal RNA
Source: RNAcentral
UACAGAGGGUGCGAGCGUUAAUCGGAAUUACUGGGCGUAAAGCGUGCGUAGACGGUUACGUAAGUCGAAUGUGAAAGCCCCCGGCUCAACUGGGGAGGGUCAUUCGAUACUGUUCGACUCGAAGGCAGGAGAGGGAAGUGGAAUUCCGGGUGUAGUGGUGAAAUGCGUAGAUAUCCGGAGGAACACCAGUGGCGAAGGCGACUUUCUGGCCUGUUCUUGACGCUGAGGCGCGAAAGCUAGGGGAGCAAACGGG